RNAcentral lists this transfer RNA (60 nucleotides) under Alectorobius mimon. RNAcentral describes it as "tRNA-Glu". Lineage: Eukaryota; Metazoa; Arthropoda; Arachnida; Ixodida; Argasidae. The record is from RNAcentral.
AUUUUUAUAGUGUAUAAAACACUUAACAUUUUCAUUGUUAAAAAGCCUCCGCUAAAAAUA